This 37-nucleotide small RNA is filed under the name Plasmodium falciparum 3D7. RNAcentral's name for it is "Pfa-rasR6878". Lineage: Eukaryota; Apicomplexa; Aconoidasida; Haemosporida; Plasmodiidae. The record is from RNAcentral.
UCCUAGUGGUUGCUUUUGGUGUACGUGUGAUGUAAUG